CAUUUCAUGGCAAACUUUUACCGUGCAUGCAAGAGUAAGGAGUUUUGCAAAGAUCUUACCCAUGUUUGUGUGGCAUUCAACACCGACACAUUCCAAAGCUGCUAUGAUAAGCUAUUCAAGGCGUUGGAGAAGAACAAAGGAGGGAGAGAAUUCUUGACAAGGAAUUUUCCGGAGAAGCAUAAGUGGUCACGUGCUUACGACGAAGGAGGUUUCCGACACGGAGACAUGACAAGUAACAUGGUGGAAUGCUUCAACAAUGUGCUCAAGGGUGUCAGUUCUUUGCCGGUCACUGCAAUAGUGAAAUAUACCUUCUUCAAGCUCAACGAGUAUUUUCUGAGGCAUUCCGAAGAGACGGCCAAAUGGAUAGGUGAGAAAAUGGAAUUUCCCUUCAAAGUUGAGGAUGGGUUGAAGCAUCAAGCGCGCAAGUCUUGGCGUCAACAAAUCAUUAGUUUCAAUGAAAAAGAACAAAUCUACCAAGUCGAUGAGCCGGGUGGCACAACAAGGGACGGCAUGACAUACGGUGGA
Molecule: ribosomal RNA, 525 nt
Filed under: Triticum aestivum (bread wheat)
Lineage: Eukaryota; Viridiplantae; Streptophyta; Magnoliopsida; Poales; Poaceae
Description: partial small subunit ribosomal RNA
Source: RNAcentral